RNAcentral lists this ribosomal RNA (424 nucleotides) under uncultured bacterium. Its description in RNAcentral is "bacterial SSU rRNA". It matches the Rfam family "Bacterial small subunit ribosomal RNA", at positions 355 to 796 of the family's 1533-position model. The record is from RNAcentral.
UGGGGAAUUUUGCGCAAUGGGGGAAACCCUGACGCAGCAACGCCGCGUGGAGGAUGAAGUCCUUCGGGACGUAAACUCCUUUCGAUCGGGACGAUUAUGACGGUACCGGAAGAAGAAGCCCCGGCUAACUUCGUGCCAGCAGCCGCGGUAAUACGAGGGGGGCGAGCGUUGUUCGGAAUUAUUGGGCGUAAAGGGUGCGUAGGCGGUUUUGUAAGUCUUAUGUGAAAUCUAUGGGCUCAACUCAUAGACUGCAUGAGAAACUGCAGGGCUUGAGUGUGGGAGAGGUGAGUGGAAUUCCUGGUGUAGCGGUGAAAUGCGUAGAUAUCAGGAGGAACACCUGUGGCGAAAGCGGCUCACUGGACCACAACUGACGCUGAUGCACGAAAGCUAGGGGAGCAAACAGGAUUAGAUACCCCCGUAGUCC